UGGCGGACGGGUGAGUAACGCGUGGGCAACCUGGCCAGUACAGGGGGAUAACACUUAGAAAUAGGUGCUAAUACCGCAUAACGGGAGAAGCCGCAUGGCUUUUCCUGAAAACUCCGGUGGUACAGGAUGGGCCCGCGUCUGAUUAGCCAGUUGGCAGGGUAACGGCCUACCAAAGCGACGAUCAGUAGCCGGCCUGAGAGGGCGGACGGCCACACUGGGACUGAGACACGGCCCAGACUCCUACGGAAGGCAGCAG
This 256-nucleotide ribosomal RNA is filed under the name uncultured bacterium. RNAcentral's name for it is "partial 16S ribosomal RNA". It matches the Rfam family "Bacterial small subunit ribosomal RNA", at positions 96 to 354 of the family's 1533-position model. The record is from RNAcentral.